GGAGGGCGCAAGCGUUGUUCGGAAUUACUGGGCGUAAAGCGCGUGUAGGCGGCCGAGUAAGUCGGAUGUGAAAGCCCGGGGCCCAACCCCGGAACUGCACCCGAUACUGCUCGGCUGGAGUCCCGGAGAGGAUGGCGGAAUUUCCGGUGUGGAGGUGAAAUUCGUAGAUAUCGGAAGGAACACCAGUGGCGAAGGCGGCCAUCUGGACGGUGACUGACGCUGAGACGCGAAAGCGUGGGGAGCAAACAGGAUUAGAUACCCUGGUAGUCCACGCCGUAAACGUUGGGUGCUAGACGUCGGGGGUAUUGACCCCUCCGAUGUCGAAGCUAACGCAUUAAGCACCCCGCCUGGGGAGUACGGCCGCAAGGCUA
Molecule: ribosomal RNA, 371 nt
Filed under: uncultured bacterium
Lineage: Bacteria
Description: bacterial SSU rRNA
Rfam family: Bacterial small subunit ribosomal RNA
Source: RNAcentral